RNAcentral lists this ribosomal RNA (1495 nucleotides) under Lactiplantibacillus pentosus. RNAcentral's name for it is "bacterial SSU rRNA". It matches the Rfam family "Bacterial small subunit ribosomal RNA". The record is from RNAcentral. Lineage: Bacteria; Bacillati; Bacillota; Bacilli; Lactobacillales; Lactobacillaceae.
ACGCUGGCGGCGUGCCUAAUACAUGCAAGUCGAACGAACUAUGGUAUUGAUUGGUGCAUGCAUCAUGAUUUACAUUUGAGUGAGUGGCGAACUGGUGAGUAACACGUGGAAACCUGCCCAGAAGCGGGGGAUAACACCUGGAAACAGAUGAUAAUACCGCAUAACAACUUGGACCGCAUGGUCCGAGUUUGAAAAAUGGCUUCGGCUAUCACUUUUGGAUGGUCCCGCGGCGUAUUAGCUAGAUGGUGGGGUAACGGCUCACCAUGGCAAUGAUACGUAGCCGACCUGAGAGGGUAAUCGGCCACAUUGGGACUGAGACACGGCCCAAACUCCUACGGGAGGCAGCAGUAGGGAAUCUUCCACAAUGGACGAAAGUCUGAUGGAGCAACGCCGCGUGAGUGAAGAAGGGUUUCGGCUCGUAAAACUCUGUUGUUAAAGAAGAACAUAUCUGAGAGUAACUGUUCAGGUAUUGACGGUAUUUAACCAGAAAACCACGGCUAACUACGUGCCAGCAGCCGCGGUAAUACGUAGGUGGCAAGCGUUGUCCGGAUUUAUUGGGCGUAAAGCGAGCGCAGGCGGUUUUUUAAGUCUGAUGUGAAAGCCUUCGGCUCAACCGAAGAAGUGCAUCGGAAACUGGGAAACUUGAGUGCAGAAGAGGACAGUGGAACUCCAUGUGUAGCGGUGAAAUGCGUAGAUAUAUGGAAGAACACCAGUGGCGAAGGCGGCUGUCUGGUCUGUAACUGACGCUGAGGCUCGAAAGUAUGGGUAGCAAACAGGAUUAGAUACCCUGGUAGUCCAUACCGUAAACGAUGAAUGCUAAGUGUUGGAGGGUUUCCGCCCUUCAGUGCUGCAGCUAACGCAUUAAGCAUUCCGCCUGGGGAGUACGGCCGCAAGGCUGAAACUCAAAGGAAUUGACGGGGGCCCGCACAAGCGGUGGAGCAUGUGGUUUAAUUCGAAGCUACGCGAAGAACCUUACCAGGUCUUGACAUACUAUGCAAAUUUAAGAGAUUAAGCGUUCCCUUCGGGGACAUGGAUACAGGUGGUGCAUGGUUGUCGUCAGCUCGUGUCGUGAGAUGUUGGGUUAAGUCCCGCAACGAGCGCAACCCUUAUUAUCAGUUGCCAGCAUUAAGUUGGGCACUCUGGUGAGACUGCCGGUGACAAACCGGAGGAAGGUGGGGAUGACGUCAAAUCAUCAUGCCCCUUAUGACCUGGGCUACACACGUGCUACAAUGGAUGGUACAACGAGUUGCGAACUCGCGAGAGUAAGCUAAUCUCUUAAAGCCAUUCUCAGUUCGGAUUGUAGGCUGCAACUCGCCUACAUGAAGUCGGAAUCGCUAGUAAUCGCGGAUCAGCAUGCCGCGGUGAAUACGUUCCCGGGCCUUGUACACACCGCCCGUCACACCAUGAGAGUUUGUAACACCCAAAGUCGGUGGGGUAACCUUUUGGAACCAGCAGCUUAAGGGGGAACAGAUAAUUAGGGGGAAGUCGUACCAGG